This 483-nucleotide ribosomal RNA is filed under the name uncultured bacterium. RNAcentral describes it as "partial 16S ribosomal RNA". It matches the Rfam family "Bacterial small subunit ribosomal RNA", at positions 30 to 507 of the family's 1533-position model. The record is from RNAcentral.
AUUGAACGCUGGCGGCAGGCCUAACACAUGCAAGUCGAGCGGAUGAAGGGAGCUUGCUCCUGGAUUCAGCGGCGGACGGGUGAGUAAUGCCUAGGAAUCUGCCUGGUAGUGGGGGAUAACGUCCGGAAACGGGCGCUAAUACCGCAUACGUCCUGAGGGAGAAAGUGGGGGAUCUUCGGACCUCACGCUAUCAGAUGAGCCUAGGUCGGAUUAGCUAGUUGGUGGGGUAAAGGCCUACCAAGGCGACGAUCCGUAACUGGUCUGAGAGGAUGAUCAGUCACACUGGAACUGAGACACGGUCCAGACUCCUACGGGAGGCAGCAGUGGGGAAUAUUGGCAAUGGGCGAAAGCCUGAUCCAGCCAUGCCGCGUGUGUGAAGAAGGUCUUCGGAUUGUAAAGCACUUUAAGUUGGGAGGAAGGGCAGUAAGUUAAUACCUUGCUGUUUUGACGUUACCAACAGAAUAAGCACCGGCUAACUUCGUG